RNAcentral lists this transfer RNA (68 nucleotides) under Malus sieboldii. RNAcentral describes it as "tRNA-Val". It matches the Rfam family "tRNA". From Rfam's summary of the family: Transfer RNA (tRNA) molecules are approximately 80 nucleotides in length. Their secondary structure includes four short double-helical elements and three loops (D, anti-codon, and T loops). The record is from RNAcentral. Lineage: Eukaryota; Viridiplantae; Streptophyta; Magnoliopsida; Rosales; Rosaceae.
AGGGCUAUAGCUCAGUUAGGUAGAGCAACUCGUUUAGAAGGUCUACGGUUCGAGUCCGUAUAGCCCUA